AGGUCCGUUGUCAUCUCUGUGUAAUACAAACAGUCUGAAUUUCUGUAUAAAGGAUACACUAUUCAACAAGAUGGCUUCAUUUUCCCCAGAGGAAGAAAAUUAUGUUAGAAUGAGUUUAUUGCUGACAGGAAUUUCUCCACGUGCAGUUAGAGCCUUAUUUGAUAGUGAAUUCCACCCAUCAUGUUUGGACUCUACAUUGAAGAAGGCAUACAACAAACUGAUUGACUUAAAAAAGAAACAUGUAAUAAAUAUAGCACAGUGGAACCUUCUAAUGACUCGUUUUCCUGGUAAGUUCAAAGCCUUUUAAUUGAUUGGUUAUUUCAUUCCAAUCUAUAUCAACCAAACCAUGAGUAAAUUUAAAUUUUGUGAUCUGAACUGUUAUGUCUAAGACAACAAACAAUCUUCAUACAAAAUGGGAUUAGUUUUUUUUUACAGGUUUCACUUUAUGAUAUGCUAGUCACAAUUAUCUCGUCUUUUUUUACCUACAGUGCACAAAGGGCCAUGUUAGCUGUUGCAAUCACUUUUUGUCUGUCAACCGUUUGCUUGUACCUUGUGUGUUUAUCAUCUGACUGUUGUUCGUGAUGUUUUUUCAUUUUUUUCUUCUCUCAAACUCAUUUAACUGGUGGGCACCAAAAUGUGUUUCUGCUUUAUCUGAUGUCUACUAUAAAAGAGAGGCGAAAGAUAUCAAAAAGGAUAUUCAAACUCAAGCUGAAAAUGGCUUAAACGAAAAAGACUAAAAAGGCAAACAACAGCGUUAACGCUUCAAGUAUUGGAUACCUAAACUACAUAAGUGUCCUUACAAACAACGGUAUAUUGCUGGGUCAUUCAAGUGCUCCACGAAACCUCUUUCUAAAUUAUUAACAUCUAUUAUAUCAGCAAUCAAAGACGGGCUUCAAAGUUAUUGUGAAACUGCCUAUUCUAGAGGUGGCGUGAAUCAGAUGUGGAUACUUCAACAUUCGAAAGAUCUUUUAGAGUACAUACAAUCUAACUCUCUUUCAUCUUGUAACAGUAUUAAAACAUUUGACUUUUCUACUCUUUACACAAGUAUUCCACAUUCCAAACUAAAAGACAAAUUGAAAGAGUUGGUAUUACUUUGCUUCAUAAAAAAGAAUGGCCAACGAGAUACAAGUAUCUUGUCUAGGGAGGGAUAAAUCAUACUUUGUAAAGAUCACUCUGAUUCAACAAAAAAUUCACUGAACCGAUAUGACAAGAUGCUUGAUUUCUUGAUUGACAAAUUUUGAACGUUGAAAGGACGUGUUUUUCAACAGACUGUCGCAUCCCAAUGGGAACAAACUGUGCCCUCUACUUGCCGACUUGUUUCUUUAUUAUUAUGAGGCUGACUUCAUGCAGAAACUUCUUAGGAAGAAAGAUAAGAAGUUAGUAAUAUCCUACUUAACUCUACUUCGCUAUAUGAUGACGUUCUUCACAAACCAUUCAAAAUGGUGACUAUGUGGACGCAUCUACCAUCGAAUUGGAGAUAAAGGAUACUACAGAUACAGUUAAGCUUCAUUUUCUUGACUUACAUCUAGAAAUUGGCAAUAAGGGUCGGUUGAAAAAAACUUACGACAAAAAGAGAUGAUUUAGUUUUCCAAUUUAAACUUUCCAUUUCUAAGUAGCAACUUUCCAGCAGCACUGCAUACGGGGUAUAUAUCUCCCAAUUGAUACGAUAUUCCCGUGCUUGCAUUUCCUAUCAUGAUUUUCUUGAUAGAGGGUUACUGUUCACAAGGAAGCUAUUAAACCAAGAGUUCCAAAUGGUGAAGUUGAAAUCAUCCCAUCGUAAAUUUUGGUAAUGUAUACCAGUUAAAAAAGAAAAGAAAACAUAGAAGCCAAAAAGUAGUCAACAUGGCAUGUUCCAUAUACCCUGUAAAUUUCAGAAAACCCUGUGGACCCGUUUCACAGUUAUCGCCUUGACUGUUGAUUUUUUUAACUUUUAAAGGUGGUAUUGGAGUAUAAAUGAUUAAUGCAUAAUUGGUUCAUACUUUGCCAAAAUGUAAUUAAUAUAGUGAUAUGUUCAAUUCCUAAAAUUUGAUACCUUGUGUAGAUAGAGAUCCACGCUUAUUGCACGUUACGAAAUCUCGCAAGAACUGUUUAAGGGGUCUAUAGAUGGCAUCUUCCCAACCUUAAUUUUUGUUCGUAUUUAACAUACAUCAAAUGGCUGUCUAAAAAGCUCGCCCUCUAUCCAGAUCAAUAUUAUUAUAGAACCUAUAUAUCAUUCCUAUCAUGCACAUGUCUGAGAUAUAUAUAAACCAUAAGAAGGAAAGCAAAUAAAAAAAUAAAUUCUUCAUUGUUUCUAGCUUUUGUUUCUAUAGUAUUAAUGUUCUUUAUAUUUAUCAAGCUUAUCAUGUUUUAUUAUUUGUAGAUCUUCCAGAUUCAAAAACAUUUGAUGUCACUUUAAUGAUAACAUUACUGAGAAACCUGACAUCAAUUUCCCCUCCUGUUUGUGGAUUUGACAAAUUACCCCCUACCAUGGAAACAAUACCAGGUGCAGAUUUAGCCAGAAUCAAAUACUACAGGAACUAUAUGGCACAUCUGGGCGAUGGCAAAAUAGACACAUCCUUCUUCAAUACUGCUUGGAAUGAUAUAACUAGUGUAUGUAGUGCUAUUUGAUAAUUUAAUGCACCUUUGUGUUAUGUAUUAUCUCUGUUCAUUUAUGAAAUAAAGGGUGCAUUGACUUUUCUCAACGCAAAACUGCUUAACUUAAUUUUCAUGCUAGACCUUGACAUAUGUUGUGUGACAGUACAACCGAUAAUUGUUGGUUUUUUUUUCGGAAUUUUGAAUUUUGAAUGUCCAUAUUCACAAACUGGUUUAUUCUCACAUAAAAAUCAUAUCUCUAUUUUGCCGCUUUAAGGAAUUCUUACAAACAUUUGAUUAAUUACUAGGGAGUAAACCAGAAAACUAAAAAAAAAAUAUUAAAACGAUCACAAAAUGUAUUUGAUGAUAAAAAUGCUGAUGAUGAAGAGUAAAACAAUAAUGAUGAUGCAUCUUUGAAGGAGUAAACAUACCGGUAUAAAGCACAAGUAUCAGAAUUUCUUAUUUUUACUAAAUGUUUCAUAACUUAUGAAAAGGUAACAGUCUGCAAAAAGACAGUUUGCCCUACCAGACCACAUUAUCGACAUCUAGCACAUCCGUCUUUCUAUCAUGGUUCAAAAUUAAAAUAAGCGGUAUACUACGUUUGGCUUUAUUUGCUCUCAAUCAGCAAAUACCUAAUUUUCAAGCAAUACUUUACAGGCCAUUGAUAGAUUUGGUGGACAGCAGAUGAAGCAGGAGUGUGAUCAUCUGAAAACCGGACCUUUAGAUCAGACCAACCAAGAAAUAAUGCAAGAAAUAAAACGGUCUAAUGAUGAAAUCAGGGAUCUAAAGGCAUCAUUUGAAAGACUAAAGAUGUCACAUACUGAAAUAAAGAAAUCCCACAAAGUAUUACAAGAAGACCAUGCUGAUGUUUCAAGAAAACUUCAAAACCUAGAAACGUCUCAGAAGGACACAGUUCCAUGGAAUGUUAGAGGUAAUCAUUAGUACACUUUUUGGCUUAUUUGAAUCUUAAAAUAUGAUUUUCAUUUGACUCCUAUGAUUGACAUUGAAUAAUAAGGUUGUUAAUAAAAAAAAUCGAUGUAUCAUGAAACAGAUGAUAAAGGUAGAUAAUUGGUAUAGAACUAAAACAAUUGCAUGUAUUGCAUACUUUGACAGGAAUAGAUUAUCUUAGCCUUAUUUGGCACAACUUUUUGGAAUUUUCGGUCUUCAAUGCCAUUCAACUUUGUACUUGUUUAUCUUUUAAACUAUUUUGAUAUGAGCGUCACUGAUGAGUCUCAUGUAGACGAAACGCGCCUCUGGCGUAUUAAAUUAUAAUCCUGGUAUAAUUGAUAACUAUUGACGAAAUUGAGUGUUUCUAAUCCCUUUUUAGAAUCUAUAAUAAUAAGUUUCGGUAUACGAGUUAUUCUUUAAGCUAGAUGUUACGCAAAAUUGUCAGAUUUUAUCAUAGACUAUGAUUUGAAAAAAAAACCACUUUAGGUAUAAUACCAC
This 4017-nucleotide long non-coding RNA is filed under the name Mytilus galloprovincialis (Mediterranean mussel). Lineage: Eukaryota; Metazoa; Mollusca; Bivalvia; Mytilida; Mytilidae. The record is from RNAcentral.